UGCGGGUGAUUGAACCUUUGUGUGCCCCAGAGCUACAUCCUAGCAUACUGCUGGGGAUGGCAUGAGUCCUAGCUACCAUCAGUCACUGUGAUGAAGAAGCUCCUCCCGCCGUCUUGCCUGCUGUGCACUCAUGCAAUCCCUGAAAGCCUGAACCUGUGGCUGGCACCGGCGCCAGUCCUGGUGCUGGGCCAUGCAUUCUUGCACUGCAAAGUGGGAGGCAGCACAACCAGAGCGUGUGAUCAGCUGGUCCAGUGGGUCUUCUUCCUCAUCGUCCUUCUUCACCUGUCGGGUCCAGUUAUGGCCUUGUGGGACUGAGGUUGACAUCUUGAGGAACCUAGAAUACCAACAGACAAGGAAGCGGACCCAACUGGAGCGCACACACGGAAGAACAGAACCCUCUGCAAUUCUCAUUGGCGAACUCUCCUUGUAGAGCCCGCCCUUGGCCCCACUCUUCCGGGGAAGGGCGGAAGAAGCGGACCAAUAGAGACCGGAUUUCGGAAAAGACACCUUUGAUAGUUCUGAGAGACUGUGUGUUCAUGUGGCCCCAGGCCCGAGAGAGGUACAGAGGAGGCGAGUAGCCAUUAUGCCUUUUCACCAGCGAGAGUCCACACAACUGGCCCCCAUAUCUGAAGUGGGUUACCCGCGUGGGUUGCCACGUAAGCUGAAGGGC
RNAcentral lists this long non-coding RNA (670 nucleotides) under Rattus norvegicus (Norway rat). RNAcentral's name for it is "long non-coding RNA NONRATT002974". The record is from RNAcentral. Lineage: Eukaryota; Metazoa; Chordata; Mammalia; Rodentia; Muridae.